UUGCUUAGUUGAUAAACAAAAUGUUUCAGACGAUAAAUUUGUCAACAAUCACCUUUAGUUCAUGUUCUUGUAUAAUACAAUUUCUUGAACCUUCUGGCUGUAUUUAUUCCUAGUUUUUAGAAUGACAUGUUUAUUUUUGCGCUCGAAAUCUGGCUGUAAAGACGCACAAUGAAGUCACUCCUUUUUACCGCCAUUUUGAGCCUUCGGAAACGUUCGGAACAGCUUCUCACCAAGUUCGCAAUACUAUUACAGGUAAGGUUGACGCAUGCGCAGACGUUUUCCCGCGGUGUUAUUUUUAGCUCCCCGUAUUUGUUAAAGACUAUGUAAAGUCCGUUCUGCGCAUACGUUG
Molecule: non-coding RNA, 349 nt
Organism: Paramuricea clavata
Lineage: Eukaryota; Metazoa; Cnidaria; Anthozoa; Malacalcyonacea; Plexauridae
Source: the annotation of a GenBank genome assembly